Long non-coding RNA from Daucus carota subsp. sativus, 891 nucleotides. RefSeq lists it as uncharacterized. The record is from RefSeq and is a predicted model, not a curated record. The transcript is spliced from 2 exons. Lineage: Eukaryota; Viridiplantae; Streptophyta; Magnoliopsida; Apiales; Apiaceae.
AUAUUUCUCUUUAUAACUAGUAUAAUAGAUUAAAUAUAUUAAAUAUUAUUAUAUUUUUUUUAUAUAUCUAAUUAAUGUUUCGAUUAAUUGCUCGAUAAUGAUUUCACUGAUUAAAUCUGAUUUUCACUUUUACAAUAUUGAUUAAAACAAAUCAUAAAAAUCGAAAAUUGAAACUAAUUGAUUAAUUUACUAAUUUAAGAUUUAUCACAUAUUUUUAAUAAAUUAAUUAUUUUUAAUUAUAUUAGAAUAUAAUUGACAAUAUAUUUAUUAACAAUAUAUUUUAUGAAGAUUAAUCGCAAUAAAUCGAGUAUUUUAGAAUUGAAACCUUGAUGGCUUGAUCUAUAAAAUAAUUCAAUAUAAGUUUUUCUGCCAGGAUUUAAAUAUUAUUAUUUUACAUAUAAGCCCAACAUAUAUUAAUUAUUUUUUAUUAAAUAUGAGUAUAUUUUAAGAUCAUCUUCCUUAAAAAAUUGUCCGAGACUCAGAGCAAGUACGCAAAAGCCAUGGCAGACGAUGGGCUUCCUCCUCCCAUACGACUUAUGAAUUUUAUUUCCGAAGAUCAGUUAGAAGAAGCUAAAAGAACAAGGGGGGCUAGGCUUGAAGAUGGUACUGCUCAGAGAGAUAGACCCCUUUUCGAGGUUUAAGCGAUUCUGUGCUUUUUGAUUGUGUUGUCUUUUGGUUUUGUUGGUUUUCAAGAUUUGUUCUUUUUGUUGAAUUAUGUUGGUAAUGUAUAAUGUAUAUGUUUGUCGAUGUGUAAUUGAGGGGAAUGGUAUUGUUGAGCUUAGACUGAAGAGUUUGGGCUCGAGCUUGACCGAGCUAUAAAUUUGUAGUUUUGAAACUUGAGUAGACGAAAAUUUGGCUUGAAAGAGUGAAGAAACUUUAGAUGGUGACAAA